AUCUUGCGCAAUGGGCGAAAGCCGGACGCAGCCAUGCCGCGUGAAUGAGGACGGUCUUAGGAUUGUAAACUUCUUUCCCCGGGGACGAUAAUGACGGCACCCGGAGAAGAAGCCUCGGCUAACUUCGAGCCAGCAGCCGCGGUAAUACGAAGGGGGCUAGCGUUGCUCGGAAUUACUGGGCGUAAAGGGCGCGUAGGCGGAUCGUUAAGUCAGAGGUGGAAUCCCAGGGCUCAACCCUGGAACUGCCUUUGAUACUGGCGAUCUUGAGUAUGAGAGAGGUAUGUGGAACUCCGAGUGUAGAGGUGAAAUUCGUAGAUAUUCGGAAGAACACCAGUGGCGAAGGCGACAUUCUGGCUCAUUACUGACGCUGAGGCGCGAAAGCGUGGGGAGCAAACAG
RNAcentral lists this ribosomal RNA (397 nucleotides) under uncultured bacterium. RNAcentral's name for it is "partial 16S ribosomal RNA". It matches the Rfam family "Bacterial small subunit ribosomal RNA", at positions 361 to 775 of the family's 1533-position model. The record is from RNAcentral.